CAGUAGCCGCGGUAAUACGGAGGGUGCAAGCGUUACUCGGAAUCACUGGGCGUAAAGGACGCGUAGGCGGAUUAUCAAGUCUCUUGUGAAACCUAACGGCUUAACCGUUAAACUGCUUGGGAAACUGAUAAUCUAGAGUAAGGGAGAGGCAGAUGGAAUUCUUGGUGUAGGGGUAAAAUCCGUAGAUAUCAAGAAGAAUACCUAUUGCGAAGGCGAUCUGCUGGAACUUAACUGACGCUAAUGCGUGAAAGCGUGGGGAGCAAACAGGAUUAGAUACCCCCGUAGUCCCUGUCUCUUAUAC
RNAcentral lists this ribosomal RNA (301 nucleotides) under uncultured bacterium. Its description in RNAcentral is "partial 16S ribosomal RNA". It matches the Rfam family "Bacterial small subunit ribosomal RNA", at positions 509 to 807 of the family's 1533-position model. The record is from RNAcentral.